AGUGAACGCUGGCGGUAGGCCUAACACAUGCAAGUCGAACGGCAGCACAGUAAGAGCUUGCUCUUACGGGUGGCGAGUGGCGGACGGGUGAGGAAUACAUCGGAAUCUACUUUUUCGUGGGGGAUAACGUAGGGAAACUUACGCUAAUACCGCAUACGACCUACGGGUGAAAGCAGGGGAUCUUCGGACCUUGCGCGAUUGAAUGGGCCGAUGUCGGAUUAGCUAGUUGGCGGGGUAAAGGCCCACCAAGGCGACGAUCCGUAGCUAGUCUGAGAGGAUGAUCAGCCACACUGGAACUGAGACACGGUCCAGACUCCUACGGGAGGCAGCAGUGGGGAAUAUUGGACAAUGGGCGCAAGCCUGAUCCAGCCAUACCGCGUGGGUGAAGAAGGCCUUCGGGUUGUAAAGCCCUUUUGUUGGGAAAGAAAAGCAGCAGGUUAAUACCCCGCUGUUCUGACGGUACCCAAAGAAUAAGCACCGGCUAACUUCGUG
Molecule: ribosomal RNA, 492 nt
Filed under: uncultured bacterium
Lineage: Bacteria
Description: partial 16S ribosomal RNA
Rfam family: Bacterial small subunit ribosomal RNA
Source: RNAcentral